Chelonoidis abingdonii (Abingdon island giant tortoise) is the source of this 91-nucleotide non-coding RNA. NCBI's taxonomy places the organism in Eukaryota, Metazoa, Chordata, Testudines, Testudinidae. The record is from RefSeq and is a predicted model, not a curated record.
CUCUGGGAUCAGGAGCUGUGCCGUAUUUCCACACUAGGAGAUGGCGGAUGUAUUAGGGUAGGCUUGCCCCUAGACUAUAUAACAGAAAUCA